This 251-nucleotide long non-coding RNA is filed under the name Serinus canaria (Common canary). RNAcentral describes it as "lncRNA (ENSSCAG00000005501.1)". The record is from RNAcentral. Lineage: Eukaryota; Metazoa; Chordata; Aves; Passeriformes; Fringillidae.
GUCACUUGUAAUGACUACAGUAAUAUCUGGAAAAAGAGAUAACUAGAAAAGCCUACAGCACUUGAUUAUUCUGCUCAGAAUAUCUGAUACAACCCUUGCAGACAGCAGAUCUUCCUUUGUUCCCAAGCCUGGAUAAGAAAUUGGGAAGUUCCUGCAGAUCCCUAGCAGGCUGGCCCACCACCACCAUUCCCAGGUGAGCUGACCAUGUUUAACCAUCCCCUUAAAAAUGGAAGGAUUCCAGUCCUCAGGUU